This 265-nucleotide ribosomal RNA is filed under the name uncultured bacterium. Its description in RNAcentral is "partial 16S ribosomal RNA". It matches the Rfam family "Bacterial small subunit ribosomal RNA", at positions 793 to 1055 of the family's 1533-position model. The record is from RNAcentral.
GUCCACGCCGUAAACUAUGGACACUAGAUAUUGGAGGUGUUGACCCCUUCAGUGUCGUAAGCUAACGCGUUAAGUGUCCCGCCUGGCGAGUACGGUCGCAAGACUAAAAGUUAAAGGAAUUGACGGGGACCCGCACAAGCAGGGUAACGUGUGGUUUAAUUCGAGACAAAACGAAAACCUCACCAGGGUUUGACAUGUAUGUUUUAGGAGGCCGAAAAGCUAACAAACCGCAAGGUAGCAUACACAGGUGCUGCAUGGCUGUCGU